Molecule: ribosomal RNA, 253 nt
Filed under: uncultured bacterium
Lineage: Bacteria
Description: partial 16S ribosomal RNA
Rfam family: Bacterial small subunit ribosomal RNA
Source: RNAcentral
UACAGAGACUGCGAGCGUUAUUCGGAUUCACUGGGCGGAAAGGGUGCGUAGGCGGUCGGGUAAGUCUGAUGUGAAAUCUCCGGGCUUAACCCGGAAAUGGCAUUGGAUACUAUUCGGCUCGAGGUCUGGAGGGGGGACUGGAAUACUUGGUGUAGCAGUGAAAUGCGUAGAUAUCAAGUGGAACACCAGUGGCGAAGGCGAGUCCCUGGACAGAUCCUGACGCUGAGGCACGAAAGCUAGGGGAGCAAACAGG